RNAcentral lists this long non-coding RNA (235 nucleotides) under Mytilus galloprovincialis (Mediterranean mussel). The record is from RNAcentral. Lineage: Eukaryota; Metazoa; Mollusca; Bivalvia; Mytilida; Mytilidae.
AUUUUAAAGUUUUAUUUCUACAAUUUGUGCUGGUGUUUAUGUUUUGUUUUUGUCACUUAAUCCGUCCAUUCUAUUUUGUGUACCAUUUUUAAGAAGUUUAUAUAUUUUUUCAAAUGCCAUUUUAUAUAUUUAAUCAGUUGUAACUGGUGUAAAUUAUUGUAAAGGAGAUAGUUUGAUAAAACUUCUUUCUAUAGUAGUCAUUUUUGUUUUUUAUUCCUCUGCGACAAAAAUUUGG